GUAGGGAAUAUUGCGCAAUGGACGAAAGUCUGACGCAGCGACGCCGCGUGAGUGAUGAAGGCCUUAGGGUCGUAAAGCUCUGUUGAAUGGGAAGAAAAAAAUGACGGUACCAUUCGAGGAAGGACCGGCUAACUUCGUGCCAGCAGCCGCGGUAAUACGAGGGGUCCUAGCGUUGUUCGGAAUCAUUGGGCGUAAAGGGUGUGUAGGUGGCCAUGUAAGUCAGGUGUGAAAGCCCCGGGCUCAACCCGGGAAGUGCACUUGAUACUGCGUGGCGUGAGUACCGAAGAGGGUAGUGGAAUUCCAGGUGUAGUGGUGAAAUACGUAGAUAUCUGGAGGAACACCGGUGGCGAAGGCGGCUACCUGGUCGAGUACUGACACUGAGACACGAAAGCAUGGGGAUCAAACAGGAUUAGAUACCCUUGUAGUCC
This 428-nucleotide ribosomal RNA is filed under the name uncultured bacterium. Its description in RNAcentral is "partial 16S ribosomal RNA". It matches the Rfam family "Bacterial small subunit ribosomal RNA", at positions 354 to 796 of the family's 1533-position model. The record is from RNAcentral.